UACGUAGGGGGCUAGCGUUGUCCGGAAUCAUUGGGCGUAAAGAGCGCGUAGGCGGCUAGAUAAGUCCGGUGUGAAAGUCACAGGCUCAACCUGUGAAUGCCGCUGGAAACUGUGUGACUAGAGUUCUGGAGGGGUAGCUGGAAUUCCAGGUGUAGGGGUGAAAUCUGUAGAUAUCUGGAAGAACAUCAGUGGCGAAGGCGAGCUACUAGCCAAGGACUGACGCUGAGACACGAAAGCGUGGGGAGCAAACAGG
RNAcentral lists this ribosomal RNA (253 nucleotides) under uncultured bacterium. RNAcentral describes it as "partial 16S ribosomal RNA". It matches the Rfam family "Bacterial small subunit ribosomal RNA", at positions 524 to 776 of the family's 1533-position model. The record is from RNAcentral.